UUGGAGGGCAAGUCUGGUGCCAGCAGCCGCGGUAAUUCCAGCUCCAAUAGCGUAUAUUAAAGUUGUUGCAGUUAAAAAGCUCGUAGUUGAAUUCCGGGAUCAGUACGCCGGUCGUGCCUCCGGUAUGUACUGGUGUCACUGAUUCCUCCCUUCUGAAGAACCAUCAUGCCAUUCACUUGGUGUGGUGGGGAAUCAGGACUGUUACUUUGAAAAAAUUAGAGUGUUUAAAGCAGGCUCACGCUUGAAUACAUUAGCAUGGAAUAAUGAAAUAGGACGUUGAUCCUAUUUUGUUGGUUUCUAGGAUUGACGUAAUGAUUAAUAGGGAUAGUUGGGGGCAUUAGUAUUCAAUUGUCAGAGGCGAAAUUCUUGGAUUUAUUGAAGACUAACUACUGCGAAAGCAUUUGCCAAGGAUGUUUUCAUUAAUCAAGAACGAAAGUUAGGGGAUCGAAGACGAUCAGAUACUGUCGUAGUCUUAACCAUAAACUAUGCCGACUUAGGGAAUCGGGAUUGAUUUUU
This 516-nucleotide ribosomal RNA is filed under the name uncultured Glomus. RNAcentral's name for it is "SSU rRNA". It matches the Rfam family "Eukaryotic small subunit ribosomal RNA", at positions 548 to 1068 of the family's 1831-position model. The record is from RNAcentral. Lineage: Eukaryota; Fungi; Glomeromycota; Glomeromycetes; Glomerales; Glomeraceae.